Non-coding RNA from Schistosoma curassoni, 45 nucleotides. The record is from Rfam. NCBI's taxonomy places the organism in Eukaryota, Metazoa, Platyhelminthes, Trematoda, Strigeidida, Schistosomatidae.
AUCCAGCUGAUGAAUCUCAAAUAUGAUGAAACGCGCGUCUUGUAU